Molecule: ribosomal RNA, 864 nt
Filed under: uncultured Fusobacterium sp.
Lineage: Bacteria; Fusobacteriati; Fusobacteriota; Fusobacteriia; Fusobacteriales; Fusobacteriaceae
Description: bacterial SSU rRNA
Rfam family: Bacterial small subunit ribosomal RNA (bases 1-767)
Source: RNAcentral
GAUGAACGCUGACGGAGUGCCUAACACAUGCAAGUCGCUUGAAUUUGGGGUUUUAACUUAAGUUUGGGUGGCGGACGGGCGAGUGACGCGCACAGAACUUGCCUGACUCUUAGGGAGGGAUUUGGAAGCGAAUGCUAAUACCUAACAUUAUGAAGACGGGGCAUCCUGUUAUUAUGAAAGCUGGUGCCGCUGCGAGAGAGCUAUGCGUCCCUGUAUCUAGUUGGAGAGGUGACGGCUCACCGGGGCGACGAUGGGUAGACGGCCUGAGAGGGUGAUCGGCCACACGGGGACUGAGACACGGACCUUACUCCUACAGUAGGCAGCAAGGGGGAAUUUUGGACUAUGGACCAAGGGUCUGAUCCAGGACUUCUGUGUGCACCAUGAAUUUUUUCGGAUUGUGAAUUGCUUUCCUUUGGGAAGAAAGAAGUGACAGUGCCAAAGUAAUAAGUGACGGCUGAAUACGUGCCAUACGCCGCGGGGAUACGUAAGUACCGACCGUGAUCCGGAUUUAUUGGUCGUUACGCGCGUCUAGGUGGAUAUAUAGGUCUGAUAUUAAAAUGCCAGGGCUCAAAUCUGUAUUGCGUUGAAUGCUGUGUAACUACAGUACUGGGGUUGGUGAAACCGAUAUACUUGGGUUGAAGUGAAAUUCUGAGAAAUUUGUUGUAUGCCGAUUAUAUGUCUGUUUACUGGACAGAUUCUGAUGCGAAGCGUGUAUGUGUUGUUCACUAUUGAAUAUAUUCCCUUGCGUGUUCUGGAUCAAUUUCUCAUUGCUAUUAUGUCUUUCGUGUCUGUCUCUUCGUGUUGGGCCUGUUACCCAUGUCUACUUCUCUUUUUGAUUGUUAAUAUCUCUUUUCCUUAUGUUUU